CUUUACCACUCUACAUUCUGAACACACUCAAUCAAACCUGAUGUUGGAGGCUAAGCAGGUCUGGGCAUGGUUAGUCCUUUGGGUAGUGUAGA
RNAcentral lists this ribosomal RNA (92 nucleotides) under Pogona vitticeps (central bearded dragon). The record is from RNAcentral. Lineage: Eukaryota; Metazoa; Chordata; Lepidosauria; Squamata; Agamidae.